Molecule: long non-coding RNA, 407 nt
Filed under: Salvia miltiorrhiza (redroot sage)
Lineage: Eukaryota; Viridiplantae; Streptophyta; Magnoliopsida; Lamiales; Lamiaceae
Description: long non-coding RNA (SMIL_LNC003873)
Source: RNAcentral
CUUAACGUAGAGGCCCUUGUAGCCAAUACAACCCUAUGCGCAGGGGUGUCUCAACUAAACCCCUAUAGUCCAUGUUUUGCUUCAAGUAAGCCCCUCCGUCUAACGGAUACUUAACUCCGUCCGUCUUUUAUUUUUUUUUGAUUUUUUUUUUCUGUGGGGCCCACCAUUAAUAGUUGGCGCGGUUUAGUUAGAGAAUAUGAAUCGUCUCCCUCUUCACUUGCUGCAAAAUCCGAAGGGAAGAAGAAGAAGAAGGUUUCAGAGGGAUUUCAACCUGUUCCAGACGAAUAGGAUCUCCUCCAUAGCUACUUUCACGGAUCGUACAUCGACGAAGGUAAGUGUUUAGCGUAGCCUUAAUUCGAGGCUAAAAUUGAACUUAUCGCAGCAUGCAAAUUUUUGAAAAAAUCGAA